CGGCGGACGGGUGAGUAACACGUGGGUAACCUGCCUGUAAGACUGGGAUAACUCCGGGAAACCGGGGCUAAUACCGGAUGGUUGUUUGAACCGCAUGGUUCAAACAUAAAAGGUGGCUUCGGCUACCACUUACAGAUGGACCCGCGGCGCAUUAGCUAGUUGGUGAGGUAACGGCUCACCAAGGCAACGAUGCGUAGCCGACCUGAGAGGGUGAUCGGCCACACUGGGACUGAGACACGGCCCAGACUCCUACGGGAGGCAGCAGUAGGGAAUCUUCCGCAAUGGACGAAAGUCUGACGGAGCAACGCCGCGUGAGUGAUGAAGGUUUUCGGAUCGUAAAGCUCUGUUGUUAGGGAAGAACAAGUACCGUUCGAAUAGGGCGGUACCUUGACGGUACCUAACCAGAAAGCCACGGCUAACUACGUGCCAGCAGCCGCGGUAAUACGUAGGUGGCAAGCGUUGUCCGGAAUUAUUGGGCGUAAAGGGCUCGCAGGCGGUUUCUUAAGUCUGAUGUGAAAGCCCCCGGCUCAACCGGGGAGGGUCAUUGGAAACUGGGGAACUUGAGUGCAGAAGAGGAGAGUGGAAUUCCACGUGUAGCGGUGAAAUGCGUAGAGAUGUGGAGGAACACCAGUGGCGAAGGCGACUCUCUGGUCUGUAACUGACGCUGAGGAGCGAAAGCGUGGGGAGCGAACAGGAUUAGAUACCCUGGUAGUCCACGCCGUAAACGAUGAGUGCUAAGUGUUAGGGGGUUUCCGCCCCUUAGUGCUGCAGCUAACGCAUAAGCA
RNAcentral lists this ribosomal RNA (785 nucleotides) under Bacillus sp. (in: firmicutes). RNAcentral describes it as "bacterial SSU rRNA". It matches the Rfam family "Bacterial small subunit ribosomal RNA", at positions 96 to 866 of the family's 1533-position model. The record is from RNAcentral. Lineage: Bacteria; Bacillati; Bacillota; Bacilli; Caryophanales; Bacillaceae. RNAcentral also lists the same sequence under 1 other name.